RNAcentral lists this ribosomal RNA (448 nucleotides) under uncultured bacterium. RNAcentral's name for it is "bacterial SSU rRNA". It matches the Rfam family "Bacterial small subunit ribosomal RNA", at positions 355 to 796 of the family's 1533-position model. The record is from RNAcentral.
UCGAGAAUUUUUCUCAAUGGGCGAAAGCCUGAAGGAGCGACGCCGCGUGGGGGAUGAAUGGCUUCGGCCCGUAAACCCCUGUCAUUUGUGAACAAAUUGUUUCACCUAACACGUGAAGCAUUGAUUGUAACGGAAGAGGAAGGGACGGCUAACUCUGUGCCAGCAGCCGCGGUAAUACAGAGGUCCCAAGCGUUGUUCGGAUUCACUGGGCGUAAAGGGUGCGUAGGCGGUGAGGUAAGUCUGACGUGAAAUCUCCGAGCCUAACUCGGAAACUGCGUUGGAUACUAUCUCACUAGAGGAAUGGAGGGGAGACUGGAAUACUUGGUGUAGCAGUGAAAUGCGUAGAUAUCAAGUGGAACACCAGUGGCGAAGGCGAGUCUCUGGACAUUUCCUGACGCUGAGGCACGAAAGCCAGGGGAGCAAACGGGAUUAGAUACCCCCGUAGUCC